GGAAUUUUUGACAAUGGGGGAAACCCUGAUCAAGCAACGCCGCGUGGAUGAUGAAGUAUCUCGGUACGUAAAAUCCUUUCGACAGGGAAGAAGCUCUUCGGAGUUGACGGUACCUGUAGAAGAAGCCCCGGCUAACUCCGUGCCAGCAGCCGCGGUAAUACGGAGGGGGUUAGCGUUGUUCGGAAUUACUGGGGGUAAAGCGCACGUAGGCGGAUCAGAAAGUUGGGGGUGAAAUCCCGGGGCUCAACCCCGGAACGGCCUCCAAAACUCCUGGUCUUGAGUUCGAGAGAGGUGAGUGGAAUUCCGAGUGUAGAGGUGAAAUUCGUAGAUAUUCGGAGGAACACCAGUGGCGAAGGCGGCUCACUGGCUCGAUACUGACGCUGGGGUGCGAAAGUGUGGGGAGCA
RNAcentral lists this ribosomal RNA (405 nucleotides) under uncultured bacterium. RNAcentral's name for it is "bacterial SSU rRNA". It matches the Rfam family "Bacterial small subunit ribosomal RNA", at positions 358 to 770 of the family's 1533-position model. The record is from RNAcentral.